Molecule: ribosomal RNA, 1331 nt
Filed under: Serrasentis nadakali
Lineage: Eukaryota; Metazoa; Acanthocephala; Palaeacanthocephala; Echinorhynchida; Rhadinorhynchidae
Description: SSU rRNA
Rfam family: Eukaryotic small subunit ribosomal RNA
Source: RNAcentral
CACGGGUAACGGGGAAUCGGGGUUCGAUUCCGGAGAGAGAGCAUGAGAAAUGGCUGUCACAUCCAAGGGUGGCAGCAGGCGCGCAAAUUACCCAAUCCCCGAUCGGGGAGGUAGUGACGAGAAAUAUCGAUGCCGCGAUAUUUUAUCCGGCAGUUGAAAUGAGGACAAUGAAGGGAUUUUAUCGAGAAUCUAUUGGAGGGCAAGUUCUGGUGCCAGCAGCCGCGGUAAUUCCAGCUCGAAGAGCGUAUGUUAAAGUUGCUGCGGUUAAAACGCUCGUCGUUGGACAUCAGGAAAUGGGCCGUAGACAACCAAGUGUUGGUACUACGGUUUCGUUCCUAAUUAAACGCUUGUUGACUGAUGAUGCACUUAACUGUGUGUCACUUUAGAGGGCCACUGUCACUUUGAGAAAUUCAGUGUGCUCAACGCAGGCUUUGUGCUUGAAUAAUGCUGCAUAGGAUGACGGAAAAAGGCUUCGGCUCCGUUUCGUUGGUUUUCGAAAGCAGAGGUCAUGAUUAAUCGGGACAGACGGGGGCAUUCGUAUUGCGGUGCUAGAAGUGAAAUUCCGUGACCAUCGCAAGACGAACAACUGCGAAAGCAUUUGCCAAGAAUGUUUUCAUUAGUCAAGAACGAAAGUUAGAGGAUCGAAGACGAUUAGAUACCGUCCUAGUUCUAACUGUAAACUGUGCCAGCUGGGCAUUCGCCAACGCCUUAUCUUGGCGAGCACUCUCCGGGAAACCAAAGUGAUCGGGUUCCGGGGAGAGUAUGGUUGCAAAAUCGAAACUUAAAGGAAUUGACGGAGGGGCACACCAGAAGUGGAGCCUGCGGCUCAAUUUGACUCAACGCACGAAAGCUUACUCGGUCCGAACACUGCGAGGAUUGACAGGUUGAAAGCUCUUUCUUGAUUCAGUGGGUAGCGGUGCAUGGCCGUUCGUAGUUGGUGAAGUGAUUUGUCUGGUUUAUUCCGAUAACGAACGAGACUCUAGCCCAUUAAUUAGCGUGGCGAUUCUGUGUCGUCAUUGUGCUUCUUAGAGGGACAGGUGCUGCUUAAGCACACGAAGCUGAGCAAUAACAGGUCUGUGAUGCCCUUCGAUGUUCGAGGCUGCACGCGCGCUACAAUGGAGGGUACAGAGCGCACAACGCUUCCCGGCAGGGACGCGGAACCGAAAAUGCCCUUCGUGACUGGGAUCGGGGAUUGAAAUUGUUUCUCGUGAACGAGGAAUUCCUAGUAAGCGCGGGUCAUUAUCUCGUGUUGAUUAAGUCCCUGCCCUUUGUACACACCGCCCGUCGCUACUACCGAUGAAUGGUUUGGUGAGGUCUGCGGAUAGGUGUCG